RNAcentral lists this ribosomal RNA (267 nucleotides) under uncultured bacterium. Its description in RNAcentral is "partial 16S ribosomal RNA". It matches the Rfam family "Bacterial small subunit ribosomal RNA", at positions 793 to 1055 of the family's 1533-position model. The record is from RNAcentral.
GUCCACGCCGUAAACGAUGAGUGCUAGAUGUCGCGGGCAUUGACCCCUGCGGUGUCGUAGCUAACGCAUUAAGCACUCCGCCUGGGGAGUACGGCCGCAAGGCUAAAACUCAAAGGAAUUGACGGGGGCCCCGCACAAGCGGUGGAGCAUGUGGUUUAAUUCGACGCAACGCGCAGAACCUUACCUGGGCUAGAAACGGCAAGAAAGCGGGUGAAAACUCGCUGUGCUCUUCGGAGAAUUUGUCGCUAGGUGCUGCAUGGCUGUCGU